RNAcentral lists this ribosomal RNA (465 nucleotides) under Vreelandella stevensii. Its description in RNAcentral is "partial 16S ribosomal RNA". It matches the Rfam family "Bacterial small subunit ribosomal RNA", at positions 338 to 795 of the family's 1533-position model. The record is from RNAcentral. Lineage: Bacteria; Pseudomonadati; Pseudomonadota; Gammaproteobacteria; Oceanospirillales; Halomonadaceae.
CCUACGGGAGGCAGCAGUGGGGAAUAUUGGACAAUGGGGGCAACCCUGAUCCAGCCAUGCCGCGUGUGUGAAGAAGGCCCUCGGGUUGUAAAGCACUUUCAGUGAGGAAGAACGCCUGGUGGUUAAUACCCAUCAGGAAAGACAUCACUCACAGAAGAAGCACCGGCUAACUCCGUGCCAGCAGCCGCGGUAAUACGGAGGGUGCGAGCGUUAAUCGGAAUUACUGGGCGUAAAGCGCGCGUAGGUGGCUUGAUAAGCCGGUUGUGAAAGCCCCGGGCUCAACCUGGGAACGGCAUCCGGAACUGUCAAGCUAGAGUGCAGGAGAGGAAGGUAGAAGUCCCGGUGUAGCGGUGAAAUGCGUAGAGAUCGGGAGGAAUACCAGUGGCGAAGGCGGCCUUCUGGACUGACACUGACACUGAGGUGCGAAAGCGUGGGUAGCAAACAGGAUUAGAUACCCUGGUAGUC